Molecule: long non-coding RNA, 260 nt
Organism: Physeter macrocephalus (sperm whale)
Lineage: Eukaryota; Metazoa; Chordata; Mammalia; Artiodactyla; Physeteridae
Exons: 3
Source: RefSeq, a predicted model, not a curated record
GUGAACCUGGGGGCUGCAUGAUGCGCUCCAAACACAGGGCCCCGGGGCUGUGCGGGGCACCCUGCCGGGCAGAGGUCACAUCCUCAGAGCAGAUAUCACCUUCCUGGAAGAAACCAGUGUUUUCUGAGGAGCUCAAGUUCACUGUGCAGAGGUUGACUGUCGUUCAGUGUCAUUUAGACAGGACUUCAAAGACCACUUAAUGAGCGAAUAAAAGAAGAUAAUGUAUUCCAUACUGUUAUAAUUUAUAAUCCCUAAUUAUG